RNAcentral lists this unclassified non-coding RNA (290 nucleotides) under uncultured fungus. RNAcentral's name for it is "partial contains 5.8S ribosomal RNA, internal transcribed spacer 2, and large subunit ribosomal RNA". The record is from RNAcentral. Lineage: Eukaryota; Fungi.
AACGCAUAUGGCGCCCGAAACUCCGGUUGAGGGCAUGCCUGCCUCAGCGUCGUCUCAACCCCCUCACCGACUCCUGUUUCACGACAGGAUCGAUCGGUGGAUCUGGCCCUUCCUGUAACCAAGGAUCGGCUGAAGAGCAAGCGGCCCGGCGUUUCAGUCGGCACCAGUGGUGGUGGCCCCGUGCCUCCCCUUUGGACCGGCUGUCUCAGUCACAGGCCCGACUGGCAACAGUCGCAAACCCCCAUCAAAGAAUCGACCUGAGUUCAGGCAAGAGCACCCGCUGAACUUAA